AUCUUAAAAGUUCCUAUAGAAUAAAUGAAUUCAAGUAGAAGGUGAUUAAUACCAUAACCUCUUAGAUAGUAACAUGAUUGCAAAAUUUUAAUUAGCAGAUACUAAUUCUACUACUAGUUGCAUACUUACAAAAUAUAUAUCUCUACAAAUAAGUUACAAAGUUAGUUUUAAAAUUUGACACUAGAUUUAAUAACAAGAUAUUGAUUACCGUGAAGGGUUUUUCAAUUUAGUACCUACAGUAGAGUUUGUAGAAAGGAGAGAUGCUUGGCAUCUCCUCCUACAUGGACUUUAGCUAAAGUCAUAUUUGUUGAUUUGUUAAGUGCAUUGGUUGGUAAAGCUUAAGUUAUAACAUAAACUAGACAAAUAUGUUUUUUAUUCCCAUAUUUUAUAAGACUCACAAUUACCACUCACUUUAUUAUCCACAUAUUCCGUAUGACCUACCUGUCAACACUUAAAAGCACUACCAAAAGUACUUUAAGUAAGGAAACGUGUGUGAAUGUAUACUACUGCCCAUCCACAAGGCCAUGAACAUGACCUGAUUGCUAUGCUAUAAAACUAUGAAAUAGUUGUGAGAUGAAAUGAAAAUUAUCCAUCUGAGGAUAGUCAUAAGUGCUUGGGGACUCUAAUACAUAUUUUCUUCCACAUGACUUCAGCAAAUAUAACGCCAACUAGGACAGAAAUGCAGAGCAUACAAAUCCUUGUUAUGAAAAGGAAUAUCAAGAAGGUCUAGGGCAAUCUUUCUGAUAGGCAAGUUCUUGCCUGAUAUUUGCAGUUGUUUUAAUUCCUCAAGAGAAAUUGUAAGUAGUAAACAAACAAAAUAGGAUAUGUAGCUCAUUAACGUCCUCAACAAAUUUGUGUAUAGAUCAGUAGGAGUCUAUUAAUUUCUUCUAGCGAGAGAAAAUCUUCUGGUCUUAUCGGAUUAAUUAAAGAUGUUACUCUACUCGAUCAAAUUUUAGACUAACCACAUAAUAGACAACGUAAGGAGGCCAAGUCAGUUUUUACAUGCACAGAGGAUCACAUUUGUGAUUCUACUAAAUUUGGAACCUUGGUUUCCCCCCUGCAAAAUUCGUCGUUCUUCAUUGGAUUUUUCCUGUUCUCAAAUAGAAAUGGGAGAAAUUCAUAGAAAGAUUAUGAGCAAGUCUGACUAUUGUAAGAACACAGAUGUAUAAUGUUGCUGGAUUUUUUCAAAUCUGUAUUCUGGUUCUGCCAACCCCUAUGCAUCGAAAUAACCAAAGUGAAUAGAUAAAGAAAAACAAAGACCCUUUAUGUUUCUUUUAGUUGUCAGAAUUGUGAUAAUUUCAAACAUCUAUAUGCUAAUAUGUUAUAUUUAACAAGUAUGAUCUCAAUCUAAUUCUAUACUACCAUGCUACAGAUCUGAUGUAUGAUAUUGGUUGAUGCAGAUCCUUUGGGAGAUCAAGUGUAUGGAUUCGGUUCUGGAAAGCGUGGCCAGCUGGGUAUGUCUAAUGAUGAAGUCAAAUUCUUCCUCAGAUUACUUUGGGAUUGAUCGAUGUCAAAAUCAUCAGUAUCAAUGCAAAUGGAGAUCAUAGUGCAGCAUUAUCUGGUCCCCUCAAGAUGGUGGCUCAUUUGAACAGACCAAUUUUGAAAUCCAUGGGAUAACUCUGAUAUCAUAUUAAGACUCGGGGUCCAUCUUAAUAAGCUAGUGGGCAUUUGUACACAUGGGGAAGAGGGUUUCUCGAUGCCUCGGAUUUGUAUACUCUGCAUUAUUGUCCUGCAGAUUUGUCAUUCAAUGAGGUUGCUCUAGGAUGAAACCAUGCUUUGGUGCAAACAAGUUAGAAUAAAGUGUGUAUGCUUGGCGGCUAUCAUCAUGGAAUACUUGGUGAUCUUCAGAAAAUGGCCUUGAGGAAGCACAUUUCUGGGAACGGAUCAGUAAUGACAUUGGGUUGGGGCGAACAUGGCCAGCUUGGCUUGGGGGAUACUGUUGAUCAAACCGACCCUCAGGUGGUGAGCUUAGGUCAUAACCGAGCCGAGGAACAUGCCAUAUCCAGAGUCUAUUGUGGUAGUGGGUUUUCCUUUGUUUUAAGGACAUAUGAUGGGUAUUCUCAAAUUAGAUAAGCAAAAUCAAGGAAUUAAGAUUUAAGAUUUGCCAUCUAACUAUCUGCCUCAGCUCUUAGGAAGAGAUUCUUUGAAAUUGGCGAUUCUAAAACAAUUCUCUUGAAAAUAUGUGCUUUAAGCUUGGGAAGUUGCAACUUGAAAGCCUUGUUUGUUUUCUGUUGUAUACUAUUUGAUGGAGAGGGAAAGUAAACAAUUGAUACUUAUCUGUGCGGAUUAUCCGUGAACUUCGUCUCUAUGGCACAAAACAUUUGGUGAAGCUAAAACAACUCUCUUGGCCUUAAGCUAACAACUGCGAAUCAAAAGUGGAGGGCUGGAAGCCCAAACAUGUUUGGUGCAGAGGAUACUGCUGCGCGGGAUAAUGAACAAGAUUUAUUUAGAACCGUCGAGUCGAGCAUAAUAAGCGUAAGACGUUUGUAUAUACCUGUUUAAUGUCAACUGAGAACUUUUCGUUGUCUAUGCUUGAAACUGUAAUUUUGAUCUUUCAGAAUUCACUCCUUAUAGAUUAGCUUUUCGAAGGAGAUUGAGUUGUGAGCCUUUGUUUUGCACGGUGCAGUAAAUUUUCAGUAACCUUUUCCA
Olea europaea var. sylvestris is the source of this 2649-nucleotide long non-coding RNA. RefSeq lists it as uncharacterized. The transcript is spliced from 5 exons. Lineage: Eukaryota; Viridiplantae; Streptophyta; Magnoliopsida; Lamiales; Oleaceae. The record is from RefSeq and is a predicted model, not a curated record.